GACGUAGGGUGCAAGCGUUGUCCGGAAUUAUUGGGCGUAAAGAGCUCGUAGGCGGUUUGUCGCGUCUGCUGUGAAAACUCGGGGCUCAACCCCGAGCUUGCAGUGGGUACGGGCAGACUAGAGUGCGGUAGGGGAGACUGGAAUUCCUGGUGUAGCGGUGGAAUGCGCAGAUAUCAGGAGGAACGCCGGUGGCGAAGGCGGGUCGCUGGGCCGUAACUGACGCUGAGGAGCGAAAGCAUGGGGAGCGAACAGG
Molecule: ribosomal RNA, 253 nt
Filed under: uncultured bacterium
Lineage: Bacteria
Description: partial 16S ribosomal RNA
Rfam family: Bacterial small subunit ribosomal RNA
Source: RNAcentral